AUGAAUAUCAUCAUUCCUCCCAAGGAUAUGAGGCAUACUCCGCCCAGGGCAAAUGUCUCCAUGGAGGGCUGCCUUUCAUCUGCAGAAAAUUCGCACCAUAUGUUUUCAAAAGGGAACCCCAUGUCUGCAUGGACACAAUUUUACUCUUCUCUUUGGAAGUCAGUGUUUCAGUGUGUCAUAACAAGGUCUCCAUCAUGAUGAAGGUAAAGCCUACAAUCUGCCAGGGUAAAUCAGCACCGCUGGAGCUAAAAGGACAGUCUGCUUUCAAAUGCAAAGAGCCAUCACUUCCAUUAAUCUGAAAUCCCUUUCCUCUUUAAAUAGGAGCAUUAUCUUUUAAAAACUGUAGCUAUCAAACUGGAGGGAUAAGUGAGCAGAAUGAUGUGAAGUGGGAAUGCAGUUCACAACACCUCGAUGAGGUACGUAAAUAUCAUUUAUGUUUUACAUAUGGGGAUCUUGAAGAAGAGCAACGAAAUGACUGGCUCAAGGCUAGAGAGGAUUUUGAUAUUAGCACUUUGUUGAGAAAUCAGAGUUCCCAGUUUAGUGCUCAUACUAUUAGAUCACAUCUUUCCUUCUGUGAGAAAAAUAACUAGUUAAAAUAAUUUUGUAGAUAAUAGCUGCCAUGUCCCCCUCACAAGCUACUAGCAAACAGUAGAUGUGGCUGCAUCCUGAUUUUUUUUUUUAAGGGGACGAGACCUGUAUGGAGUCUACAAGGGGACAGGCUAUUUUAUAAAUAGGACCAAACAAAACCCAGUAGAGACAGAAACAAAAUUGCCCUGCAGUAAAGCAUCCUCCUCCCGCACUAGGUGUUACAUUAAAAAAAAAAUCUGGGAAACAAUAAACAAACAACAGUGGAAAUACA
Molecule: long non-coding RNA, 859 nt
Filed under: Struthio camelus australis
Lineage: Eukaryota; Metazoa; Chordata; Aves; Struthioniformes; Struthionidae
Description: lncRNA (ENSSCUG00000011108.1)
Source: RNAcentral